RNAcentral lists this small RNA (296 nucleotides) under Vigna angularis var. angularis. Its description in RNAcentral is "Non-protein coding transcript". Lineage: Eukaryota; Viridiplantae; Streptophyta; Magnoliopsida; Fabales; Fabaceae. The record is from RNAcentral.
AGGGGAUGAUAAUCCAAAUGUAAAUAUUCUACGAGAUAUACUGUUGACUUAUUCAUUUUACAACUUUGAUCUUGGUUAUUGCCAGAGAUAACCUCUCAAGAUGAAGUGGGACCUUCAAGUGUUGUUAUUAAUUUUGAUGAUUGAAGUUUUGCCACAAUUUGUUAGUUAUCUAAAGUACAUGUGCGAUGAUUCAUACAUUGAAAGCUACAUAAGCACCAUCGGAGUUGAUUUUGGAAGCAGUACAUGUAUGAAGCAAUCAAAUCUGAUGACUUUGCUACUCUUAUAUACACAAGUGG